AUGGCGGCGGCGCUUCUCUCCCCGGCCUCCCCCCUCCCCCGCUCCUCCUCCGCGGCCCACCCCAGGAGCAAGGGCGCGGCUGGUGCAGCAUGGUGCGCUCCGCCGUCCAGGAGGAGGGCGGUCUCGUGCUCGUGCGCGCCCGAUUCGUGGAGCCGCGGGCUGGAGCGGAGGCAGCUCGUGCUGUCCGGCCUCGCCUGCUCCUUUGCAAUCGUCCUCCCGAUUUCAGUAGUAGAAUCGUGUGCUGCUGCUGCCGAGGUGGACGACGACGGCGUGAAGAUGGCCAUGCUGGUAGACGAGACCAACGCCUACUCUUUUCUUUACCCGGUUCAGCUGCCAGGGAAGAAAACCUCCUUCAGAUGGGUAGAGUCGAGGAAAUCGGAGCGAUAUUCCUCUGCGGCGCCACUAUCUCCUGAUGCACGGCAACGCAUCGUAUCGGAGCGCCUUGACAUGAUCAACAAUGCUGUCAUCUCAGUCUCGAUUGGGCCACCAAGUUCACGCUUUCUACCUUCGAAAGACAAGAAAACUUGGGCUGCAAAAGAUGUUGCUGAUUGCGUUCUGUCUGACAAAUCUUCAUUGAAGGUAACGACAAGCCAGCGAAUGGCGGAGAGUUCCGUCCUUGAUGCACACACUACAGAUGUUGAUGGAGAGCCAUACUGGUAUUAUGAAUAUAUUGUUCGGAAAUCACCAACAAAAUCUGCACCAGAACCUAAUCUGUUUCGGCACAAUGUAGCAUGUACUGCUGAGCGAGAUGGUUUCCUCUACUCGUUAAAUGCCUCCACUCUCAGCAAGCAGUGGGAAUCUAUGGGACCUUUGCUACAAAAGGCUGUGGCAUCCUUUCACCUCCUCCCCCCGACAGAGAAAUAUGUUCCUCCUUACCAGGAUCCAUGGAGGUUUUGGUAA
This 900-nucleotide ribosomal RNA is filed under the name Triticum aestivum (bread wheat). Its description in RNAcentral is "partial small subunit ribosomal RNA". The record is from RNAcentral. Lineage: Eukaryota; Viridiplantae; Streptophyta; Magnoliopsida; Poales; Poaceae.